RNAcentral lists this ribosomal RNA (460 nucleotides) under uncultured Cellulomonas sp. RNAcentral describes it as "bacterial SSU rRNA". It matches the Rfam family "Bacterial small subunit ribosomal RNA", at positions 925 to 1382 of the family's 1533-position model. The record is from RNAcentral. Lineage: Bacteria; Bacillati; Actinomycetota; Actinomycetes; Micrococcales; Cellulomonadaceae.
ACAAGCGGCGGAGCAUGCGGAUUAAUUCGAUGCAACGCGAAGAACCUUACCAAGGCUUGACAUACACCGGGUAACGCCCAGAGAUGGGGUCGCCCCGUUUGUGGUCGGUGUACAGGUGGUGCAUGGUUGUCGUCAGCUCGUGUCGUGAGAUGUUGGGUUAAGUCCCGCAACGAGCGCAACCCUCGUCCUAUGUUGCCAGCGGGUCAUGCCGGGGACUCAUGGGAGACUGCCGGGGUCAACUCGGAGGAAGUGGGGAUGACGUCAAAUCAUCAUGCCCCUUAUGUCUUGGGCUUCACGCAUGCUACAAUGGCCGGUACAAAGGGCUGCGAUACCGCGAGGUGGAGCGAAUCCCAGAAAGCCGGUCUCAGUUCGGAUUGGGGUCUGCAACUCGACCCCAUGAAGUCGGAGUCGCUAGUAAUCGCAGAUCAGCAACGCUGCGGUGAAUACGUUCCCGGGCCUU